UACGAAGGGGACUAGCGUUGUUCGGAAUUACUGGGCGUAAAGCGCACGUAGGCGGAUUUGUAAGUCAGGGGUGAAAUCCCGGGGCUCAACCUCGGAACUGCCUUUGAUACUGCAAGUCUCGAGUCCGGUAGAGGUGGGUGGAAUUCCUAGUGUAGAGGUGAAAUUCGUAGAUAUUAGGAAGAACACCGGUGGCGAAGGCGGCCCACUGGAUCGGUACUGACGCUGAGGUGCGAAAGCGUGGGGAGCAAACAGG
This 253-nucleotide ribosomal RNA is filed under the name uncultured bacterium. RNAcentral describes it as "partial 16S ribosomal RNA". It matches the Rfam family "Bacterial small subunit ribosomal RNA", at positions 524 to 776 of the family's 1533-position model. The record is from RNAcentral.